This 511-nucleotide ribosomal RNA is filed under the name uncultured bacterium. RNAcentral describes it as "partial 16S ribosomal RNA". It matches the Rfam family "Bacterial small subunit ribosomal RNA", at positions 30 to 523 of the family's 1533-position model. The record is from RNAcentral.
AUUGAACGCUGGCGGCAUGCCUAACACAUGCAAGUCGAACGGCAGCACAAUAAAGAUUUCGGUCUUUAUGGGUGGCGAGUGGCGGACGGGUGAGUAACGCGUAGGAAUCUGUCCUGGAGAGUGGGAUAACCCGAGGAAACUCGGGCUAAUACUGCAUGACAUUGAGAGAUCAAAAGCAGGGGACCGAAAGGCCUUGCGCUCUGGGGUGAGCCUACGUCGGAUUAGCUAGUUGGUGGGGUAAAGGCCUACCAAGGCGACGAUCAGUAGCUGGUCUGAGAGGAUGACCAGACACACUGGGACUGAGACACGGCCCAGACUCCUACGGGAGGCAGCAGUGGGGAAUCUUGGACAAUGGGGGAAACCCUGAUCCAGCGAUGCCGCGUGUGUGAAGAAGGCCUUCGGGUUGUAAAGCACUUUAGGUGGGGAAGAAAGGUAGCGAGUGAAUAACUUUCUGCUGUGACGGUACCCACAGAAUAAGCACCGGCUAACUCUGUGCCAGCAGCCGCAGUAA